RNAcentral lists this ribosomal RNA (471 nucleotides) under uncultured bacterium. RNAcentral describes it as "SSU rRNA". It matches the Rfam family "Bacterial small subunit ribosomal RNA", at positions 26 to 518 of the family's 1533-position model. The record is from RNAcentral.
AGGACGAACGCUGGCGGCGUGCUUAACACAUGCAAGUCGAACGGAAAGGCCCUUCGGGGUACUCGAGUGGCGAACGGGUGAGUAACACGUGGGUGAUCUGCCCCGCACUUUGGGAUAAGCCUGGGAAACUGGGUCUAAUACCGAAUAGGACCAUGGCAUGCAUGUGCUGUGGUGGAAAGCUUUUGCGGUGUGGGAUGGGCCCGCGGCCUAUCAGCUUGUUGGUGGGGUUAAGGCCUACCAAGGCGACGACGGGUAGCCGGCCUGAGAGGGUGUCCGGCCACACUGGGACUGAGAUACGGCCCAGACUCCUACGGGAGGCAGCAGUGGGGAAUAUUGCACAAUGGGCGCAAGCCUGAUGCAGCGACGCCGCGUGGGGAUGACGGCCUUCGGGUUGUAACCCUUUCAGUAGGGACGAAGCGCAGUGACGGUACCUACAGAAGAAGCACCGGCCAACUACGCGCCAGCAGCCGC